UUACAUCAUGGACAUCUCAUAUUCCUCGGACAUCAACCUUCCAAAUUUCUUACUAAAAUGUGGGUUAGUAGAUCCAAGAUAAUACCAUCCUCUUAAAUUUGGCACACAAAUAAUUCACAUUAACUCUUAUAGUGAACAAGGUUGCGUCAAUUUGACCAAUCUCAAAACCCUUUUCAAUGAGAACCUUCGCUAAGCAUUUAUACCAACUUGAGAGGCUUGUUUAAGACCAUAUAGUUC
RNAcentral lists this long non-coding RNA (237 nucleotides) under Hordeum vulgare. Its description in RNAcentral is "long non-coding RNA (HVUL_LNC001499)". The record is from RNAcentral. Lineage: Eukaryota; Viridiplantae; Streptophyta; Magnoliopsida; Poales; Poaceae.